UACGUAGGGUGCAAGCGUUGUCCGGAAUUAUUGGGCGUAAAGGGCUCGUAGGCGGUCUGUUGCGUCGGUAGUGAAAACUCAGGGCUUAACCCUGAGCCUGCUUCCGAUACGGGCAGACUAGAGGUAUGCAGGGGGAGAACGUAAUUCCUGGUGUAGCGGUAGAAAUGCGCAGAUAUCAGGAGGAACACCGGUGGCGAAGGCGGUUCUCUGGGCAUUACCUGACGCUGAGGAGCGAAAGUGUGGGGAGCGAACAGG
Molecule: ribosomal RNA, 255 nt
Filed under: uncultured bacterium
Lineage: Bacteria
Description: partial 16S ribosomal RNA
Rfam family: Bacterial small subunit ribosomal RNA
Source: RNAcentral